This 88-nucleotide non-coding RNA is filed under the name Gracilibacter sp. RNAcentral describes it as "c-di-GMP sequence". It matches the Rfam family "c-di-GMP-I riboswitch aptamer". Rfam says of the family: GEMM was predicted in a large-scale screen for bacterial structured RNA regulatory elements. Lineage: Bacteria; Bacillati; Bacillota; Clostridia; Eubacteriales; Gracilibacteraceae. The record is from RNAcentral.
GAACGUUAAGGGCAAAGCUGUCAAAAGGCAGCGACGCAAAGCCAUAGGGUCUAACGUGCCUUAGCACUAUGACAGCCUGGCUGCCGAA